GUCUAUGGCCAUGCUACCCUGAACAUGCCCUCUCCCCUCUGAUCUCGGAAGCUAAGCUAGGUUGGGCCUGAUUAGUACUUGGAUGGGAGACCACCUAGGAAGACCAGGUGUUGUAGGUG
Molecule: ribosomal RNA, 119 nt
Filed under: Pteropus alecto (black flying fox)
Lineage: Eukaryota; Metazoa; Chordata; Mammalia; Chiroptera; Pteropodidae
Source: RNAcentral